Molecule: transfer RNA, 72 nt
Filed under: Mesocricetus auratus (golden hamster)
Lineage: Eukaryota; Metazoa; Chordata; Mammalia; Rodentia; Cricetidae
Rfam family: tRNA
About the family: Transfer RNA (tRNA) molecules are approximately 80 nucleotides in length. Their secondary structure includes four short double-helical elements and three loops (D, anti-codon, and T loops). Further hydrogen bonds mediate the characteristic L-shaped molecular structure. tRNAs have two regions of fundamental functional importance: the anti-codon, which is responsible for specific mRNA codon recognition, and the 3' end, to which the tRNAs corresponding amino acid is attached (by aminoacyl-tRNA synthetases). tRNAs cope with the degeneracy of the genetic code in two manners: having more than one tRNA (with a specific anti-codon) for a particular amino acid; and 'wobble' base-pairing, i.e. permitting non-standard base-pairing at the 3rd anti-codon position.
Source: Rfam by way of RNAcentral
UCCUUGUUAGUAUAGUGGUGAGUAUCCCCGCCUGUCACGCGGGAGACCGGGGUUCGAUUCCCUGAUGGGGAG